GACGAACGCUGGCGGCGUGCUUAACACAUGCAAGUCGAACGGAAAGGCCCUGCUUGCAGGGUACUCGAGUGGCGAACGGGUGAGUAACACGUGGGUGAUCUGCCCUGCACUUCGGGAUAAGCCUGGGAAACUGGGUCUAAUACCGGAUAGGGGCCAUUUUUAGUGUGAUGGUUGGAAAGUUUUUUCGGUGUAGGAUGAGCUCGCGGCCUAUCAGCUUGUUGGUGGGGUAAUGGCCUACCAAGGCGGCGACGGGUAGCCGGCCUGAGAGGGUGGACGGCCACAUUGGGACUGAGAUACGGCCCAGACUCCUACGGGAGGCAGCGGUGGGGAAUAUUGCACAAUGGGCGCAAGCCUGAUGCAGCGACGCCGCGUGGGGGAUGACGGCCUUCGGGUUGUAAACUCCUUUCGCUAGGGACGAAGCUUUUUGUGACGGUACCUAGAUAAGAAGCACCGGCUAACUACGUG
RNAcentral lists this ribosomal RNA (465 nucleotides) under uncultured bacterium. RNAcentral's name for it is "partial 16S ribosomal RNA". It matches the Rfam family "Bacterial small subunit ribosomal RNA", at positions 28 to 507 of the family's 1533-position model. The record is from RNAcentral.